Molecule: non-coding RNA, 98 nt
Filed under: Megasphaera coli
Lineage: Bacteria; Bacillati; Bacillota; Negativicutes; Veillonellales; Veillonellaceae
Description: SAM riboswitch (S box leader)
Rfam family: SAM riboswitch aptamer (S box leader)
About the family: The SAM riboswitch is found upstream of a number of genes which code for proteins involved in methionine or cysteine biosynthesis in Gram-positive bacteria. The SAM riboswitch acts at the level of transcription termination control.
Source: RNAcentral
UUCAUCAAGAGCAAUCGAGGGACAUGGCCCGAUAACAUUGCGGCAACCCCCAUUACGGGAAGGUGCCAAUUCCACGGCAGAAUCUGCCGACAGAUGAA